GUCAAUUUCGACGGCGAUAUGUUG
This 24-nucleotide non-coding RNA is filed under the name Arabidopsis thaliana (thale cress). Lineage: Eukaryota; Viridiplantae; Streptophyta; Magnoliopsida; Brassicales; Brassicaceae. The record is from RNAcentral.